This 468-nucleotide ribosomal RNA is filed under the name uncultured bacterium. Its description in RNAcentral is "partial 16S ribosomal RNA". It matches the Rfam family "Bacterial small subunit ribosomal RNA", at positions 28 to 507 of the family's 1533-position model. The record is from RNAcentral.
GACGAACGCUGGCGGCGUGCUUAACACAUGCAAGUCGAACGGAAAGGCCCUGCUUUUGUGGGGUGCUCGAGUGGCGAACGGGUGAGUAACACGUGAGUAACCUGCCCUUGACUUUGGGAUAACUUCAGGAAACUGGGGCUAAUACCGGAUAGGAGCUCCUGCUGCAUGGUGGGGGUUGGAAAGUUUCGGCGGUUGGGGAUGGACUCGCGGCUUAUCAGCUUGUUGGUGGGGUAGUGGCUUACCAAGGCUUUGACGGGUAGCCGGCCUGAGAGGGUGACCGGCCCCAUUGGGCCUGAGAAAAGGGCCCGACCCCCACCGGGGGGCAGCGGGGGGAAAUUUUCCCAAAGGGGGGGAGGCCGGAUGCAGCACCCCCGGUGGGGGAAGGACGGCUUUGGGGUUGAAACCCCCUUUCCCCGUGGCCGAGGGGGGGGGACGGGAAUGGGGAAAAAAGACACCGCCAACCUCCUU